This 474-nucleotide ribosomal RNA is filed under the name uncultured organism. RNAcentral describes it as "partial 16S ribosomal RNA". It matches the Rfam family "Bacterial small subunit ribosomal RNA", at positions 335 to 800 of the family's 1533-position model. The record is from RNAcentral.
ACUCCUACGGGAGGCAGCAGUGGGGAAUAUUGCACAAUGGGCGCAAGCCUGAUGCAGCCAUGCUGCGUGUAUGAAGAAGGCCUUCGGGUUGUAAAGUACUUUCAGCGGGGAGGAAGGCGAUAAGGUUAAUAACCUUGUUGAUUGACGUUACCCGCAGAAGAAGCACCGGCUAACUCCGUGCCAGCAGCCGCGGUAAUACGGAGGGUGCAAGCGUUAAUCGGAAUUACUGGGCGUAAAGCGCACGCAGGCGGUCUGUCAAGUCGGAUGUGAAAUCCCCGGGCUCAACCUGGGAACUGCAUUCGAAACUGGCAGGCUAGAGUCUUGUAGAGGGGGGUAGAAUUCCAGGUGUAGCGGUGAAAUGCGUAGAGAUCUGGAGGAAUACCGGUGGCGAAGGCGGCCCCCUGGACAAAGACUGACGCUCAGGUGCGAAAGCGUGGGGAGCAAACAGGAUUAGAUACCCCUGUAGUCCCAUGA